AUUGAACGCUGGCGGCAGGCCUAACACAUGCAAGUCGAACGGUAACAGGAAACAGCUUGCUGUUUCGCUGACGAGUGGCGGACGGGUGAGUAAUGUCUGGGAAACUGCCUGAUGGAGGGGGAUAACUACUGGAAACGGUAGCUAAUACCGCAUAACGUCGCAAGACCAAAGAGGGGGACCCUCGGGCCUCUUGCCAUCGGAUGUGCCCAGAUGGGAUUAGCUUGUUGGUGGGGUAACGGCUCACCAAGGCGACGAUCCCUAGCUGGUCUGAGAGGAUGACCAGCCACACUGGAACUGAGACACGGUCCAGACUCCUACGGGGGGCAGCAGUGGGGAAUAUUGCACAAUGGGCGCAAGCCUGAUGCAGCCAUGCCGCGUGUAUGAAGAAGGCCUUCGGGUUGUAAAGUACUUUCAGCGGGGAGGAAGGGAGUAAAGUUAAUACCUUUGCUCAUUGACGUUACCCGCAGAAGAAGCACCGGCUAACUCCGUG
This 490-nucleotide ribosomal RNA is filed under the name uncultured bacterium. Its description in RNAcentral is "partial 16S ribosomal RNA". It matches the Rfam family "Bacterial small subunit ribosomal RNA", at positions 30 to 507 of the family's 1533-position model. The record is from RNAcentral.